Molecule: ribosomal RNA, 465 nt
Filed under: uncultured bacterium
Lineage: Bacteria
Description: partial 16S ribosomal RNA
Rfam family: Bacterial small subunit ribosomal RNA
Source: RNAcentral
GACGAACGCUGGCGGCGUGCUUAACACAUGCAAGUCGUACGGUAAGGCCCUUUCGGGGGUCCACGAGUGGCGAACGGGUGAGUAACACGUGAGUAACCUGCCCACAACUUUGGGAUAACGCUAGGAAACUGGUGCUAAUACUGGAUAUGUGCUCCUGCUGCAUGGUGGGGGUUGGAAAGCUCCGGCGGUUGUGGAUGGACUCGCGGCCUAUCAGCUUGUUGGUGGGGUAGUGGCCUACCAAGGCGGCGACGGGUAGCCGGCCUGAGAGGGUGACCGGCCACAUUGGGACUGAGAGACGGCCCAGACUCCUACGGGGGGGAGCAGUGGGGAAUAUUGCACAAUGGGCGCAAGCCUGAUGCAGCAACGCCGCGGGCGGGAUGACGGCCUUCGGGUUGUAAACCGCUUUCAGCAGGGACGAAGCUUUUUGUGACGGUACCUGCAGAAGAAGCACCGGCUAACUACGUG